This 470-nucleotide ribosomal RNA is filed under the name uncultured archaeon. Its description in RNAcentral is "bacterial SSU rRNA". It matches the Rfam family "Archaeal small subunit ribosomal RNA", at positions 526 to 994 of the family's 1478-position model. The record is from RNAcentral.
CGGCCCAGGUAAGUCCCUUGGGAAAUCUGGCAGCUCAACUGUCAGGCUGCUAGGGGAUACUGUUUGGCUUGGGACCGGGAGAGGUGAGAGGUACCUUGGGGGUAGGGGUGAAAUCUUGUGAUCCUCGGGGGACCACCAGUGGCGAAGGCGUCUCACCAGAACGGGUCCGACGGUAAGGGACGAAAGCUAGGGGCACGAACCGGAUUAGAUACCCGGGUAGUCCUAGCCGUAAACGAUGCUCGCUAGGUGUCAGUCACGGUGCGACCGUGAUUGGUGCCGUAGGGAAGCCGUGAAGCGAGCCACCUGGGAAGUAUGGCCGCAAGGCUGAAACUUAAAGGAAUUGGCGGGGGAGCACUACAACGGGUGGAGCCUGCGGUUUAAUUGGAUUCAACGCCGGAAAUCUCACCGGGGGCGACAGCGAUAUGAAGGUCAGGCUGAAGACCUUACCCGAUUAGCUGAGAGGUGGUGCA